Molecule: ribosomal RNA, 1478 nt
Filed under: uncultured bacterium
Lineage: Bacteria
Description: bacterial SSU rRNA
Rfam family: Bacterial small subunit ribosomal RNA
Source: RNAcentral
GAUGAACGCUGGCGGCGUGCCUAAUACAUGCAAGUCGAGCGAACAGAUGAGAAGCUUGCUUCUCUGAUGUUAGCGGCGGACGGGUGAGUAACACGUGGGUAACCUACCUAUAAGACUGGGAUAACUCCGGGAAACCGGGGCUAAUACCGGAUAAUAUAUUGAACCGCAUGAUUCAAUGUUGAAAGACGGUUUCGGCUGUCACUUAUAGAUGGACCCGCGCCGUAUUAGCUAGUUGGUAAGGUAACGGCUUACCAAGGCAACGAUACGUAGCCGACCUGAGAGGGUGAUCGGCCACACUGGAACUGAGACACGGUCCAGACUCCUACGGGAGGCAGCAGUAGGGAAUCUUCCGCAAUGGGCGAAAGCCUGACGGAGCAACGCCGCGUGAGUGAUGAAGGUCUUAGGAUCGUAAAACUCUGUUGUUAGGGAAGAACAAAUUUGUUAGUAACUGAACAAGUCUUGACGGUACCUAACCAGAAAGCCACGGCUAACUACGUGCCGGCAGCCGCGGUAAUACGUAGGUGGCAAGCGUUAUCCGGAAUUAUUGGGCGUAAAGCGCGCGUAGGCGGUUUCUUAAGUCUGAUGUGAAAGCCCACGGCUCAACCGUGGAGGGUCAUUGGAAACUGGGGAACUUGAGUGCAGAAGAGGAGAGUGGAAUUCCAUGUGUAGCGGUGAAAUGCGCAGAGAUAUGGAGGAACACCAGUGGCGAAGGCGGCUCUCUGGUCUGUAACUGACGCUGAUGUGCGAAAGCGUGGGGAUCAAACAGGAUUAGAUACCCUGGUAGUCCACGCCGUAAACGAUGAGUGCUAAGUGUUAGGGGGUUUCCGCCCCUUAGUGCUGCAGCUAACGCAUUAAGCACUCCGCCUGGGGAGUACGACCGCAAGGUUGAAACUCAAAGGAAUUGACGGGGACCCGCACAAGCGGUGGAGCAUGUGGUUUAAUUCGAAGCAACGCGAAGAACCUUACCAAAUCUUGACAUCCUUUGACCGCUCUAGAGAUAGAGUUUUCCCCUCCGGGGGACAAAGUGACAGGUGGUGCAUGGUUGUCGUCAGCUCGUGUCGUGAGAUGUUGGGUUAAGUCCCGCAACGAGCGCAACCCUUAAGCUUAGUUGCCAUCAUUAAGUUGGGCACUCUAGGUUGACUGCCGGUGACAAACCGGAGGAAGGUGGGGAUGACGUCAAAUCAUCAUGCCCCUUAUGAUUUGGGCUACACACGUGCUACAAUGGAUAAUACAAAGGGCAGCGAACCCGCGAGGUCAAGCAAAUCCAUAAAAUUAUUCUCAGUUCGGAUUGUAGUCUGCAACUCGACUACAUGAAGCUGGAAUCGCUAGUAAUCGUAGAUCAGCAUGCUACGGUGAAUACGUUCCCGGGUCUUGUACACACCGCCCGUCACACCACGAGAGUUUGUAACACCCGAAGCCGGUGGAGUAACCUUUUAUUAGGAGCUAGCCGUCGAAGGUGGGACAGAUGAUUGGGGUGA